CCAGGAAACCAGACGACCGCGGCGAUUCCUUCGGGAAUCGUUGAGGAAAGUCCGAACACCGAUGCCGUCGCAAGGCGGCAUGAGUGGCAGUCGCGAAAUGCGACCGGGAGCAAGGGAUCGAUCGUUCUCUCGGGUUACGAGAGAGUGGCUGAUCCUCCAAGCCCAGGGACAGUGCAACAGAAAAGACACCGCCGAUGGCCCCGCAAGGGGAUCAGGUAAGGUUGAAAUCGUGGGGUAAGAGCCCACGCGGGACAUGCCUCGUGAGGGGCGCCGUGGAAAACACCUGCCCGGUGCAAGAGCAAGUUUGGUCGCUCGCAUAGAGAGAUGGUCGUCACUCCGCUUCGGCGGGGGACAGAAUUCGGCUUACCGGUUUGCUGGGUGU
Molecule: RNase P RNA, 382 nt
Filed under: Patescibacteria group bacterium
Lineage: Bacteria
Description: RNase P RNA component class A
Rfam family: Bacterial RNase P class A
About the family: Ribonuclease P (RNase P) is a ubiquitous endoribonuclease, found in archaea, bacteria and eukarya as well as chloroplasts and mitochondria. Its best characterised activity is the generation of mature 5'-ends of tRNAs by cleaving the 5'-leader elements of precursor-tRNAs. Cellular RNase Ps are ribonucleoproteins.
Source: RNAcentral